UACGGAGGGUGCAAGCGUUAAUCGGAAUUACUGGGCGUAAAGCGCACGCAGGCGGUUUGAUAAGUCAGAUGUGAAAUCCCCGGGCUCAACCUGGGAACUGCAUCUGAUACUGGCAAGCUUGAGUCUCGUAGAGGGGGGUAGAAUUCCAGGUGUAGCGGUGAAAUGCGUAGAGAUCUGGAGGAACACCGGUGGCGAAGGCGGCCCCCCGGACGAAGACUGACGAUCAGGUGCGAAAGCGUGGGGAGCAAACAGG
Molecule: ribosomal RNA, 253 nt
Filed under: uncultured bacterium
Lineage: Bacteria
Description: partial 16S ribosomal RNA
Rfam family: Bacterial small subunit ribosomal RNA
Source: RNAcentral